CAGGACGAACGCUGGCGGCGUGCCUAAUACAAUGCAAGUCGAACGGCUUUUCUAUGGAAGCUUGCUUCCACUGAGAAGAUAGUGGCGAACGGGUGAGUAACACGUGGGUAACCUGCCCAUAAGAGGGGGGAUAACAUCCGGAAACGGGUGCUAAUACCGCAUAGUUUUCUUGAUCGCAUGAUUGGGAAAGGAAAGACGGCCUUUGUGCUGUCGCUUAUGGAUGGACCCGCGGCGUAUUAGUUAGUUGGUGAGGUAACGGCUCACCAAGACGAUGAUACGUAGCCGACCUGAGAGGGUGAUCGGCCACAUUGGGACUGAGACACGGCCCAAACUCCUACGGGAGGCAGCAGUAGGGAAUCUUCCGCAAUGGACGAAAGUCUGACGGAGCAACGCCGCGUGAGUGAAAGAAGGUUUUCGGAUCGUAAAACUCUGUUGUCAGAGAAGAACAAGUUGGAGAGUAACUGCUCCAGCCUUGACGGUAUCUGACCAGAAAGCCACGGCUAACUACGUGCCAGCCGCCGC
This 522-nucleotide ribosomal RNA is filed under the name uncultured bacterium. Its description in RNAcentral is "bacterial SSU rRNA". It matches the Rfam family "Bacterial small subunit ribosomal RNA", at positions 25 to 518 of the family's 1533-position model. The record is from RNAcentral.